Molecule: ribosomal RNA, 253 nt
Filed under: uncultured bacterium
Lineage: Bacteria
Description: partial 16S ribosomal RNA
Rfam family: Bacterial small subunit ribosomal RNA
Source: RNAcentral
UACGUAGGGGGCUAGCGUUGUCCGGAAUCAUUGGGCGUAAAGCGCGUGUAGGCGGUCCGGUAAGUCCGCUGUGAAAGUCGGGGGCUCAACCCUCGAAUGCCGGUGGAUACUGUCGGGCUAGAGUGCGGAAGAGGCGAGUGGAAUUCCUGGUGUAGCAGUGAAAUGCGCAGAUAUCAGGAGGAACACCAAUUGCGAAGGCAGCUCGCUGGGACGUUACUGACGCUGAGACGCGAAAGCGUGGGGAGCAAACAGG